AAAAACAGUUCGUGUGAGUUAUGUCAAAUAAUUACUGAAGAUUCAAUAAGGUAGGACAAAUUAUUCUAUAUGUGUUUCACUUAGAAAUGCAGAAUUAAACAAAAUUAAAAGUUGUAUUCACCAAAAUUUUUUGUCAUUAGUUUAUCCUUCACAAGUUAAGUAAAAUAUUUAGACAACGUAAGAUUUUCUUUAAAGUGAAAGGUUUAAGGUUUCGACUAUCCGUUUGUUUCAUAACAGUGAGCUCUUAAACCGUUUUUGAAUACACAGAAAAACUUUCGGCAUAUCAAAUUUUACUUCAUAAUAGUUUGCUCUGGAGUAUGAAAUAAUGGAAGUAAUUUAACAACAUUGGGUUGAGCCUUAGUCUUCUUGUUAUGCCUGUGUUAAAUUAUUACAUCUUUCUUAAAAUUUGGUACAUUAAAAUACUUUUGUUAUUAAAAAAUCACUUUCUUGUUGUAGAUAACAAAUACACUUAGUCAGACAUGAUUGACUGACUGAAUACCAAAGAAGAAUGAAAUUGAUGAACUGGUGUUGCUCCAUCGUGAUAUUUGUUUCGUGUUUAUUCGGCAUCGUAAAUUGUAAAUAUAUACGUUUCCAGGGGAAUUAUGAGUACAGUUAUCAAUACAUCUCUGAUUCAACAAUACAUGGUUUGGGAAACUUCAAGACAGAUGCAAAGGUUUGUU
Molecule: long non-coding RNA, 680 nt
Filed under: Mytilus galloprovincialis (Mediterranean mussel)
Lineage: Eukaryota; Metazoa; Mollusca; Bivalvia; Mytilida; Mytilidae
Source: RNAcentral